GAUGAAGAACGUAGCGAACGUGCGAAACGUAAUGUGAAUUGCAGAAUUCAGUGAAUCAUCGAAUCUUUGAACGCAUCUUGCGCUCCUUGGUAUUCCGAGGAGCAUGCCUGUUUGAGUGUCGUGAAUACUCUCAACUUCAACCCUUUUUUCGGAAAGGGAGGAAGGUUGGACUUGGAUGUUUGUUGAAGUGCGAGCUUCGACUCAUCCUAAAUGCAUUAGCGAUCUGCCUCGAUCACACACAAUGUGAUAAUUAAAACUAAAGCAUUGUUUAAUGAUCAAGUCGAGACUGCUUCUAACUGUCGCAAGACAAUAACGUGCAUACAUUUGUGCAUGUCAUUUGACCUCAAAUCAGGUAGGACUACCCGCUGAACUUAAGCAUAUCAAUAAGCGGAGGA
RNAcentral lists this unclassified non-coding RNA (395 nucleotides) under soil metagenome. RNAcentral's name for it is "partial contains 5.8S ribosomal RNA, internal transcribed spacer 2, and large subunit ribosomal RNA". The stretch from base 1 to 121 matches the Rfam family "5.8S ribosomal RNA", at positions 35 to 154 of the family's 154-position model. The record is from RNAcentral.